UAACGCGUGAGGAACCUGCCUCAAUGAGGGGGACAACAGUUGGAAACGACUGCUAAUACCGCAUAAGCCCACGGCUCGGCAUCGAGCAGAGGGAAAAGGAGUGAUCCGCUUUGAGAUGGCCUCGCGUCCGAUUAGCUAGUUGGUGAGGUAAUGGCCCACCAAGGCGACGAUCGGUAGCCGGACUGAGAGGUUGAACGGCCACAUUGGGACUGAGACACGGCCCAG
RNAcentral lists this ribosomal RNA (225 nucleotides) under uncultured bacterium. RNAcentral describes it as "partial 16S ribosomal RNA". It matches the Rfam family "Bacterial small subunit ribosomal RNA", at positions 111 to 334 of the family's 1533-position model. The record is from RNAcentral.